UGGGGAAUUUUACGCAAUGGGGGAAACCCUGACGUAGCGACACCGCGUGAACGAAGAAGCCCUUUGGGGUGUAAAGUUCUGUCAGCAGGGACGAAAAAAAUGACGGUACCUGCAGAGGAAGCAUCGGCUAACUACGUGCCAGCAGCCGCGGUAAGACGUAGGAUGCGAGCGUUGUCCGGAUUUAUUGGGCGUAAAGAGUUCGUAGGCGGUUCGUUAAGUCUGGUGUUAAAGAUCAGGGCUCAACCCUGGGAGUGCAUUGGAUACUGGCGGACUGGAGUGCAGUAGAGGCGAGUGGAAUUCCCAGUGUAGCGGUGAAAUGCGUAGAUAUUGGGAAGAACACCGGUGGCGUAAGCGACUCGCUGGGCUGUAACUGACGCUGAGGAACGAAAGCUAGGGGAGCAAAUGGGAUUAGAUACCCCCGUAGUCC
Molecule: ribosomal RNA, 427 nt
Filed under: uncultured bacterium
Lineage: Bacteria
Description: bacterial SSU rRNA
Rfam family: Bacterial small subunit ribosomal RNA
Source: RNAcentral